RNAcentral lists this non-coding RNA (89 nucleotides) under uncultured Catenibacillus sp. RNAcentral's name for it is "TPP riboswitch (THI element)". It matches the Rfam family "TPP riboswitch aptamer (THI element)". Rfam says of the family: Vitamin B(1) in its active form thiamin pyrophosphate (TPP) is an essential coenzyme that is synthesised by coupling of pyrimidine and thiazole moieties in bacteria. The record is from RNAcentral. Lineage: Bacteria; Bacillati; Bacillota; Clostridia; Lachnospirales; Lachnospiraceae.
UUUGCUGGGGGAGCCUUUUGGCUGAGAAAGUAGAACUUGACCCUUUGAACUUGACAUGGUUAGUACCAUCGUAGGGAAGCAAUUUUAUU